ACGGCGAGUGAACAGGCAAGAGCUCAGAUUUGAAAGCCUUUCGGGGCAUUGUAUUCUGAAGCCUUGAUUCUGAGAACCGGUACCUAAGUCUUCUGGAAAGGAGCGCCAAGGAGGGUGAUAGCCCCGUACGGUACUGACCUCAUUGUAGAAUCUUGGCGUGGAGUCGAGUUGUUUGGGAAUGCAGCUCAAAUGGGUGGUAUGCUCCAUCUAAAGCUAAAUAUCUGCGAGAGACCGAUAGCGAACAAGUACUGUGAAGGAAAGAUGAAAAGAACUUUGAAAAGAGAGUGAAAAAGUACGUGAAAUUGUUGAAAUGGAAGGAUAGGCCGCUAACCACGUAGAGCCGUGUCUGAGGGGAGGAUAAAAGCUGUAGAAUGUGGCUCUUCGGAGUGUUAUAGCUGCAGUGCAUACUCCCACUCGGGCGCGAGGACCUAAGGCUCUGCUAAAUGGUGGUCUAUCACCCGUCUUGA
RNAcentral lists this ribosomal RNA (467 nucleotides) under Starmerella bombicola. RNAcentral's name for it is "partial large subunit ribosomal RNA". It matches the Rfam family "Eukaryotic large subunit ribosomal RNA", at positions 86 to 657 of the family's 3401-position model. The record is from RNAcentral. Lineage: Eukaryota; Fungi; Ascomycota; Dipodascomycetes; Dipodascales; Trichomonascaceae.